GACGAACGCUGGCGGCGUGCUUAACACAUGCAAGUCGAACGGUGAAGCGCCUUCCUUUUUGGUGGGUGUGGAUGAGUGGCGAACGGGUGAGUAACACGUGAGUAACCUGCCCCCUUCUUCUGGAUAACCGCAUGAAAGUGUGGCUAAUACGGGAUAUUCUGGGUCUGUCGCAUGAUGGGUCUGGGAAAGAUAUUGUUUCGGUGGGGGAUGGGCUCGCGGCCUAUCAGCUUGUUGGUGGGGGGAUGGCCUACCAAGGCGGUGACGGGUAGUCGGCCUGAGAGGGUGGACGGUCACACUGGGACUGAGACACGGCCCAGACUCCUACGGGAGGCAGCAGUGGGGAAUAUUGCACAAUGGGCGCAAGCCUGAUGCAGCGACGCCGCGUGAGGGAUGGAGGCCUUCGGGUUGUGAACCUCUUUCGCCAGUGAAGCAGGCCUGCCUCGUUUGUGGGUGGGUUGACGGUAGCUGGAUAAGAAGCGCCGGCUAACUACGUG
Molecule: ribosomal RNA, 494 nt
Filed under: uncultured bacterium
Lineage: Bacteria
Description: partial 16S ribosomal RNA
Rfam family: Bacterial small subunit ribosomal RNA
Source: RNAcentral